This is a long non-coding RNA of Amphimedon queenslandica, 223 nucleotides long. RefSeq lists it as uncharacterized. NCBI's taxonomy places the organism in Eukaryota, Metazoa, Porifera, Demospongiae, Haplosclerida, Niphatidae. The record is from RefSeq and is a predicted model, not a curated record. The transcript has 3 exons.
ACUAUGCUACACUAUUAAGACACUCCUAAAGCAUCGAGCAACACAACUGAAAAACAGUAAAGGACUCUAUGCUACACUAUUUAGAUACUACUAACACAUGAAGGAAUGGUACUGUAUGUUCAUGUACUAUCAUUAUUCUUGAAAGUAAUAUGAAAAUAAGUUAACUAAUGACAAAGUUACUUAUUAAGGGAUAGCAUUUUACAGGCAACAAUAAUUACAUUGU